GCAGAGUGCCGGCCCGUCGUGAUGCAGAAGGGCAGCUGGAGGUCGCGGGACGCAGUCAAGUGAUGCUGCUGUUUUGCGCCAGCAUGAGCUGAGUUCGAGGUACAGAGACGAGCGGAGAGGCCGGGAGAAGAGCAAUUCUUCUUUCAAGGAAUGAUGUCGAUACAGAGGAAGUAAAAGAGAAUAGAUAUCUUCCUGUCACACCUGAUGAGUGUGAGAUUGUUCUCAGGCUUUGACUGAUUGCUUUUCUUCCAGCGCCUGAAUUUGCGGAAGCUCUGCACAUUUUGAAUACUGGUCCUGGCACCUCCGUUCAAACGUUCUCUUUCCCAAAGCAGAUUGAUGUUUGGAGUCAUGCAGUGUACAGAACAUCAAUUCUCUCCUGCCUCACCACUUUCUCUUCAUCUCUUCUACUUUCCCUCGCCUGCCUACCUUGCUCAUUCCUAAAAUUCCAUCUUAGUCAAGUCUUUGAGUUGGAAAUUGACUUUCUGAAUUUGACUUUUUCAGC
This is a long non-coding RNA of Triplophysa rosa, 502 nucleotides long. RefSeq lists it as uncharacterized. The record is from RefSeq and is a predicted model, not a curated record. The transcript is spliced from 3 exons. Lineage: Eukaryota; Metazoa; Chordata; Actinopteri; Cypriniformes; Nemacheilidae.